RNAcentral lists this non-coding RNA (21 nucleotides) under Arabidopsis thaliana (thale cress). Lineage: Eukaryota; Viridiplantae; Streptophyta; Magnoliopsida; Brassicales; Brassicaceae. The record is from RNAcentral.
UUGUUAAUAUCAUGUUUCUGC